Molecule: ribosomal RNA, 254 nt
Filed under: uncultured bacterium
Lineage: Bacteria
Description: partial 16S ribosomal RNA
Rfam family: Bacterial small subunit ribosomal RNA
Source: RNAcentral
UACGAAGGGGGCUAGCGUUGUUCGGAAUUACUGGGCGUAAGGCGCGCGUAGGCGGCUUUGCAAGCCAGAGGUGAAAUGCCUGAGCUCAACUUAGGAAUUGCCUUUGGGACUGCAAGGCUUCGAGGACUGGAGAGGUGAGUGGAAUUCCCAGUGUAGAGGUGAAAUUCGUAGAUAUUGGGAAGAACACCAGUGGCGAAGGCGGCUCACUGGCCAGUUUCUGACGCUAAAGUGCGAAAGCGUGGGGAUCAAACAGG